AGAGUUUGAUCAUGGCUCAGAAUCAACGCUGGCGGCAUGCCUAACACAUGCAAGUCGAGCGAGAAAGGGUAGCAAUACCUGAGUAAAGCGGCGCACGGGUGAGUAACACGUGGAUAACCUGCCUCAAAGUGGGGAAUAACACCGGGAAACCGGUGCUAAUACCGCAUAUUCUGAUGAGAUCUGCGGAUUUUGUCAGGAAAGGAGCAAUUCGCUAUGAGAGGGGUCCGCGGCUGAUUAGCUAGUUGGUGAGGUAAUGGCUCACCAAGGCUUCGAUCAGUAGCCGGUCUGAGAGGACGGUCGGCCACACUGGAACUGAGACACGGUCCAGACUCCUACGGGAGGCAGCAGUGGGGAAUUUUUCGCAAUGGGGGCAACCCUGACGAAGCAAUGCCGCGUGGAUGAUGAAGUAUCUCGGUACGUAAAAUCCUUUCGACGGGGACGAAACCGUAAGGUUGACGGUACCCGUAGAAGAAGCCCCGGCUAACUCCGUGCCAGCAGCCGCGGUAAUACGGGGGGGGCGAGCGUUGUUCGGAAUUACUGGGCGUAAAGGGUGCGUAGGCGGCUUUCUAAGUCGGAUGUGAAAACUCUGGGCUCAACCCAGAGCCUGCAUCCGAAACUGGAGAGCUAGGGUUCUGGAGGGGAAAGCGGAAUUCCUGGUGUAGCGGUGAAAUGCGUAGAUAUCAGGAGGAACACCGGUGGCGAAGGCGGCUUUCUGGACAGAUACCGACGCUGAGGCACGAAAGCUAGGGGAGCAAACAGGAUUAGAUACCCUAGUAGUCC
Molecule: ribosomal RNA, 780 nt
Filed under: uncultured bacterium
Lineage: Bacteria
Description: bacterial SSU rRNA
Rfam family: Bacterial small subunit ribosomal RNA
Source: RNAcentral